This is a long non-coding RNA of Dunckerocampus dactyliophorus (ringed pipefish), 643 nucleotides long. RefSeq lists it as uncharacterized. The transcript is spliced from 3 exons. Lineage: Eukaryota; Metazoa; Chordata; Actinopteri; Syngnathiformes; Syngnathidae. The record is from RefSeq and is a predicted model, not a curated record.
GGUGAAUGGUCCAAAAGCGCGGGUUGGUGGCGGGGUCGUCACUGAUCGGCUGCACCUGCAGCAAAUUUGUUUUCGGCUGAUGAGCCAAAAGCCUGGAAGACAACAAGCACGGAGGAACACAGAACGUUAGUUCAGCGCCUGUUAGCGACACCCAUCCAACGCCCAAGCUCACCCAGUGGUACUCCAAAGGAAGUGAGACUCACUGCAUACACGAGCCUACCUCCCCCUCCCUUACUCAUCCAGUCAGCAGUCAGAACGCAAUCUAGAUGCAUUCACGGACUUGUGGUGAGUUGGAUAUUUCGCAUUCAUUUCGAAAAUGCAGAUUUCCCCUAUUCUGGUGUUUAAAAUAAGCCACCGUGCUGAGCGAAGGGAGCCGCAACAAGGAAGCUGAAGAUCUGCACGCGGCUCCGGAGCCACGGAUUGCCGACCCCUGAUCUAGAUGGAGCCACGCAGUUGAGCAGUAAGAGUCCGUGAAGGCAUCGUCACGCAGCUAGAGGACGUCCAAAUGUUGUCGAAUAAGGUUCGGAGGAAGUAGUGACACCUAAGUACACGCCCGCACUAGCCAGAUGGUCAGCACCCGGCAGCAGAGAAGGCGGGUUUGAAGUAUUUUUUUUGUUGAUUAUUAUUAUUGUUAAUAGUUAUU